GCCAGGCAUGGCGGUGCAUGCCUGUAGUCCCAGCUACUCAGGAGGCUGAGGCAGGAGAAUCACUUGAACCCAGGAGGCAGAGGCUGUAGUGAGCUGAGAUUGUACCACUGCACUCCAGCCUGGGUGACAGAGUGAGACUCUGUCUCAA
This 148-nucleotide small RNA is filed under the name Macaca fascicularis (crab-eating macaque). RNAcentral's name for it is "Metazoan signal recognition particle RNA (ENSMFAG00000047723.1)". The record is from Rfam by way of RNAcentral. Lineage: Eukaryota; Metazoa; Chordata; Mammalia; Primates; Cercopithecidae.